GCGGAACUAUCCAGAUAUGCAGACCCUUUUGAUGAACUAUUUAUUGUAUUCAGCAUCUUUAUCACUGGUUUUCUGAUGACUUAUGUACGACUCUAUCCGACGAUGAAGGCCUAUGAAUAUGGAUUGCGGAUUUUCUUGGUGACAUUUUGCUUCGUAAUUGUUUCGGGUUAUAGGACGAAGCAAUUUGUUGAGGCAGCUGUUAGUCGUUUUAUAGCUAUUGCGCUUGGUGCUGCUGUUGGUGUGGGAGUGAAUAUUUGCAUCUGCCCGUUUUGGGCAGGAAAGGAUUUGCACAACUUGGUAGUGAAGAAUUUCACUUACGUAGCCAAGUCUUUGGAAGGGUGUGUUAACG
RNAcentral lists this unclassified non-coding RNA (349 nucleotides) under Hevea brasiliensis (rubber tree). The record is from RNAcentral. Lineage: Eukaryota; Viridiplantae; Streptophyta; Magnoliopsida; Malpighiales; Euphorbiaceae.